GACGGAGGAUGCAAGCGUUAUCCGGAAUUAUUGGGCGUAAAGCGUCCGCAGGUGGCAGUUCAAGUCUGCUGUCAAAGGCCGGGGCUUAACUUCGGAAAGGCAGUGGAAACUGAACAGCUAGAGUAUGGUAGGGGCAGAGGGAAUUCCUGGUGUAGCGGUGAAAUGCGUAGAGAUCAGGAAGAACAUCGGUGGCGAAGGCGCUCUGCUGGACCAUAACUGACACUCAGGGACGAAAGCUAGGGGAGCGAAUGGG
RNAcentral lists this ribosomal RNA (253 nucleotides) under uncultured bacterium. Its description in RNAcentral is "partial 16S ribosomal RNA". It matches the Rfam family "Bacterial small subunit ribosomal RNA", at positions 524 to 776 of the family's 1533-position model. The record is from RNAcentral.